GCCAGCUUGGCGCAGUGGUAACGCGUAGCACUUGUACGCGGUACAGAUAUGCUAAGAUCGCUCGUUCGAUUCGGGCAGUUGGCA
This 84-nucleotide transfer RNA is filed under the name Ampelomyces quisqualis. It matches the Rfam family "tRNA". Rfam says of the family: Transfer RNA (tRNA) molecules are approximately 80 nucleotides in length. Their secondary structure includes four short double-helical elements and three loops (D, anti-codon, and T loops). Lineage: Eukaryota; Fungi; Ascomycota; Dothideomycetes; Pleosporales; Phaeosphaeriaceae. The record is from Rfam by way of RNAcentral.